GGAGGGUAUAGCUCAGUGGUAGAGCACAUGCUUAGCAUGCACGAGGCCCUGGGUUCAAUCCCCAGUACCUCCA
RNAcentral lists this transfer RNA (73 nucleotides) under Vicugna pacos (alpaca). RNAcentral's name for it is "tRNA-Ala (AGC) (tRNA-Ala-AGC-399-1, tRNA-Ala-AGC-399-2)". It matches the Rfam family "tRNA". From Rfam's summary of the family: Transfer RNA (tRNA) molecules are approximately 80 nucleotides in length. The record is from RNAcentral. Lineage: Eukaryota; Metazoa; Chordata; Mammalia; Artiodactyla; Camelidae.